Long non-coding RNA from Asparagus officinalis (garden asparagus), 460 nucleotides. RefSeq lists it as uncharacterized. The record is from RefSeq and is a predicted model, not a curated record. The transcript has 2 exons. Lineage: Eukaryota; Viridiplantae; Streptophyta; Magnoliopsida; Asparagales; Asparagaceae.
CAGGAAUUCAAGGGGCUGCUGGCAACAAUUACUUUCGCGCCGAUGGCCAGAACACUGGCAAUUUUAUCACGGACCGACCUUCAACUAAGGUGCAUAAUGCCCCUGGAGGUGGUUCCUCCCUUGGGUACCUCUUUGGAGAUGGUGGAAAAAAGUGAUUGCGUAUCGCUGUGCAAAAUGCUGAGAUAUCUAUCCCGAAGCCAAAUUGAAAAAAUUUUAAAAAUAAAGGAAGAUUUUGUUGUUCAGUGUACUGUUGCUUAAGAAUUGAGUUGCUUUGGAAGAAAGUCUGAUCUUAUGUAUCAUACAGCUUAGUGUUGAAAGUUCAGUAGAGUUCAAAAUAUUUCAUCUCUAGAUUAGAGGACUGUUGCUUUAUAUUUGUAUUCCAGUAAUCAAAGAAGUUUUAUGGUUCAGAGAUGCACAACUUAAUAUGAUUUCUACUUGCAUCCGAGCAUCUUGAAAAUCA